Molecule: ribosomal RNA, 468 nt
Filed under: uncultured bacterium
Lineage: Bacteria
Description: partial 16S ribosomal RNA
Rfam family: Bacterial small subunit ribosomal RNA
Source: RNAcentral
GACGAACGCUGGCGGCGUGCUUAACACAUGCAAGUCGAACGGAAAGGCCCUGCCUUUGUGGGGUGCUCGAGUGGCGAACGGGUGAGUAACACGUGAGUAACCUGCCCUUGACUUUGGGAUAACUUCAGGAAACUGGGGCUAAUACCGGAUAGGAGCUCCUGCUGCAUGGUGGGGGUUGGAAAGUUUCGGCGGUUGGGGAUGGACUCGCGGCUUAUCAGCUUGUUGGUGGGGUAGUGGCUUACCAAGGCUUUGACGGGUAGCCGGCCUGAGAGGGUGACCGGCCACAUUGGGACUGAGAUACGGCCCAGAGUCCUACGGGAGGCAGCAGUGGGGAAUAUUGCACAAUGGGCGGAAGCCUGAUGCAGCAGCGCCGCGUGCGGGAUGACGGCCUUCGGGUUGUAAACCGCUUUCGCCUGUGACGAAGCGUGAGUGACGGUAAUGGGUAAAGAAGCACCGGCUAACUACGUG